Molecule: long non-coding RNA, 6807 nt
Filed under: Homo sapiens (human)
Lineage: Eukaryota; Metazoa; Chordata; Mammalia; Primates; Hominidae
Description: non-protein coding lnc-ZNF131-1:20
Source: RNAcentral
AGUGAGAAACAGCCGGCGCUGGGAAAGGAACGGUGCAGCGACCGACCAACUGCGCGCUCGGUGCCACCAAAGUGCUACUGGCUCUACCCACUCUGUCCCCCACGGGCUUAGGGAAGUCUGAUGUCUUUUUCUUUUCUUUUUUCCUCUGUCGCCUAGGCUGGUGCAGUGGUGUCAUCUUGGCUCAGUGCAGCCUCGACUUCCUGGGAUCCAGCGAUCCUCCCGCUUCAGCCUCUAGAGUAGCCGAGACCACAGGAACAGAAACAACACACUCAGACUUGAGAAACUGGUCUGGUUUAAAAGGGUUCCUGGCCUUACAGGUGGGUAAGAAAUGUCACUUCCUGGCAGGCUGAGGAACAUCAGGAUAUUUGGAGGACCUUGACAAGGGAAGAAUUCACCGAAAUCUAUAGGUAUUCCAGGCAAAGUGUGAUAGCAAGAUCCUGGUAUGGUUUCCUAGCCUUGAGAGGCUUUUAAAAGUCUAAUUUGAGAUUCCUUAUUAAAAGAUCCAGAAAAGCCAACUUAAAGAGACCCUGUGUGGUAAAACACUAUUCCUGCUGCACUUGUGUAAAUAUUAGGCCAACUUUAAAGACACUAAAUUUAUUUUGCAAACAGAUUACUCUUACUAAUACUUUGAUGAUGUUUGAUAAAAAGGGAGUAAGUAUAGAGAAAAAACUUUCAGAGAAAAAAAUAUAGUGCACCUGUUAUUAGACUCUAGCUCAUUGUUUUUGAGGUUUUUUCGUCUACCUGAAAUCUAGACUGGAUCUUGAAUUUUUUGUUUCCUGUAAUAUCUGGCAAUGGGCUGGGUGUCAGAGCUCGCAACUGCAAUCCCAGCACUUUGGGAGGUCGAGGUGGGAGGAUUGCUGAAGCCCAAGACUUCGAGACCAGCCUGGGCAAAAGGCGAAACACCGUCUCUACAAAAAGUUCAAAAAUUUGCUGGGCAUGGAGGCAUGCGCCUGUGGUUGCAGCUGCUUGGAAGGUGGAGGUGGAAGGAUUGCUUGAGCCAAGGAGGUUGAGGCUGCAGUAAGCCUUGUUUGUGCCACUGCACUCCAGCCUCAAUUACAAAGCAAGGACCCCAUCUCAAAAAAAAAAAAAAAAAGGGCUGGACGCAUUGGCUCAUGCCUGUAAUCCCAGCACUUUGGCAGGUUGAGGCAGGUGGAUCACUUGAGGCUAGGAGUUCGAGGCCAGCCUGGCCAACAUGGUGAAAACCCAUCUCUACAAAAAAUACAAAAAUUAGCUGGGUGUGGUGGUGUGCACCUGUAAUUCUAGCUACUCGGGAGGCAGGGGCAGGAGAAUUGCUUGAACACAGAGGUGAAUGUUGCAGUGAGUGGAGAUGGUGACACUGUACUCCAGCCUGGGCGACAGAGCAAGACUUCACCUAAAAAAAAAAAAAGUCUAGCUAUGGCUCUUAAAACUAAUAUUUCUGAUUUUUCUUCUACCCUUCUGGCUUUGAACUGCUGAAAUUAAACUGCACUUUUCCUGAAGUCUUGUCAGCUGAAGCUGGAUGGGUUAAUAUAGACUGCAGAGAAAUCACCACCACUCAUACAUGGACUACUCAGAAAUUUCACCAGAACACCUCAUGCAAACUGCAAACCAGGAAAUUCCGUCAGAUUGCCACUGCCUGCCCCCAUUCAAACUGAAGAUACUUCAAGCUUAACAUCUAAAACUUUCUGACUGGCUGCCCUCUGGACUAAAAAAACUGAGUUUAUAGUCAGUUCCAAUCAUUAACCUUUGCUUUUCUCGUUUCAAUGAAAAUAUCUUUUUUUUUUUUUUUUUUUGAGACAGAGUUUUGCUGUUGUUGCCCAGGCUGGAGUGCAAUGGUACAAUCUCGGCUCAUUGCAACUUCCACCUUCUGGGUUCAAGUGAUUCUCCUGCCUCAGCCUCCUGAGUAGCUGCGAUUAUAGGAAUGUGCCACCACACCUGGCUAAUUUUGUAUUUUUAGUAGAGACAGGGUUUCUCCAUGUUGGUCAGGCUGGUCUCAAACUCCCUAGGUGAUCCGCCCGCCUCGGCCUCCCAAAGUGCUGGGAUUAUAGGCAUGAGCCACCACACCUGGCUGGAAAUAUCUCUUAUUAAAUGAAUGAUUGCUUAGGCCUAACUUUGGUGGAUGCCAUUCUGCAAUCCCACCACCUGACUCGAGACAGUCCUGUUAACUGUUUAACUGGACUGACCUAUUCUCAGGACUGAGAGACUGGUAUAAUGACUAGAUAAUAUAGUGACCCAGUUCCUGAACCGAGAAACUUUAUAAGGAGGUUUCAUGGUACCUUGGCAAUUGAGAAAACCAAAGAAGCAAGAAGGUCAGUAUUACCACAAUCACUAUGCCUUUCUGUGUGGCAGCUGGCCAUAAAGGAAUGCUCUGACCUACCUCCCCUGAAAGUAGGGCAUAAAGCCCUUAUUCCAGAGGAGUACUUCUUUACCCAGAGGCCAAAAGAAUCUGAACAGACAGCCAUUUCUGGGCUCCCCAGUGCCCAUUUAUUAGCACUAGAUAAUAUACUUAUUGUCCAAUCAUACUUCUACAUGACUUGUCCAUAGAAUCCAAGCCUAAAAAUACAUACUUUUCAUUGGGUCUUUGGUCCUCAUUUCUGAGGGCUCCCUUGUCAUGGAAAACUUUGUUAAAUAAUUUUUUAAUGGUUUUCUCUUGUUAAUCUGUUUUGUUGUAAGAUUGCAAGCCAUAACCCUGGCAAUGGGUGACAAAAAACUAUUAACUUCUUGUCUCCUACAAUAGACACUGUUAGUAACUGGACUCUACCCUCCCAUGGAAUUUCCCUCACUUCUUUUCUUGCCUGAUUCAAUCAUAACAACCCUGCUGACUUUCAAUUGUGCCUACAAUUUUCACCUUAAUCCUAUCAGGUCCUGAAGAAAUUUUUCCAGAUGAAUUAGUGAUCAUCUCCCAACUAUUUGGACUUUGGUGUCUGCCAUUCUGUAUAUAACAGAACAUACUAUAAAAGCACAGUCUGUACUGGACAGAAUCAUUUACUCCCUUUCCUAGACCAGCCACGUAGCUUGGCCUGAUCUGGAGGCUAAAAUAUGGAGCCCCAUUCAUCAUCUUUGGAAGAGCUGUCUUGAAGGCAGCAUGUCCAGAGCCCCACAUGCCACCAGACUUAAGCCUAAAGUAAGCUGGGAUUGGGCAAUGGACAACUUCACUGCACUGAGCCACCACUGCCAAUGUCCCCAGUUCUGUGCACAUAUGAAGUACAGUGCAUUCAGGCUGCCAUGCUGGGCUUACAUAGGCUAGAGUCAUUUCUGAAGUUUAAAGGGGACAAAAAUGUUGUUGAGACCCACACUCUGGGGCCAAUGGCUGAAACCACAGAAGAGCUACACUCACUUGAAAAAUAAGUGUAUGCUGAGAUCGUUCGAAGAUGGCUGAAUAGGAACAGCUCCAGUCUAAAGCUCCCAGCGUGAGCAACACAGAAGACAGGUGAUUUCUGCAUUUCCAACUGAGCUUUGAAGAGAGCAGUUGUUCUCCCAGCAUGGAGUUUGAGAUCUGAGAACGGACAGACUGCCUCCUUAAGUGGGUCCCUGGCCCCCGAGUAGCCUAACUGGGAGACACCUCCCAGUAGGGGCCAACUGACACCUCAUACAGCCGGGUGCCCCUCUGAGACGAAGCUUCCAGAGGAAGGAUCAGGAAGCAACAUUUGCUAUUCUGCAAUAUUUGCUGUUCUGCAGCCUCCACUGGUGAUACCCAGGCAAAUAAGGUCUGGAGUGGACCUCCAGCAAACUCCAACAGACCUGCAGCUGAGGGUUCUGACUGUUAGGAGGAAAACUAACAAACAGAAAGGAAUAGUAUCAACACCAACAAAAAGGACAUCCACACCAAACCCCAUCUGUAGGUUACCAUCAUCAAAGACCAAAGGUAGAUAAAACCACAAAGAUGGGGAGAAACCAGAGCAGAAAAGCUGAAAAUUCUAAAAUCAGAGCAUUUCUUCUCCUCCAAAGAAUCACAGCUCCUCGCCAUCAACGGAACAAAGCUGGACAGAGAAUAACUUUGACGAGGUGACAGAAGUAGGCUUCAGAAGAUCGGUAAUAACAAACUUCUCCGAGCUAAAGGAGGAUGUUCAAACUCAUCGCAAAGAAGCUAAAAACCUUGAAAAAAGAUUAGACGAAUGGCUAACUGGAAUAAACAGCAUAGAGAAGACCUUAAAUGACCUGAUGGAGCUGAAAACCAUGGCACAAGUACUACGUGAUGCAUGCACAAGCUUCAGUAGCCGAUUUGAUCAAGUGGAAGAAAGCGUAUCAGUGAUUGAAGAUCAAAAGAAUGAAAUGAAGUGAGAAGUUAGAGGAAAAAAGAGUAAAAAGAAAUGAACAAAGCCUCCAAGAAAUAUGGGACUAUGUGAAAGGGCCAAAUCUACAUUUGAUUGGUGUACCUGAAAGUGACAGGGAGAAUGGAACCAAGUUGGAAAACACUCUUCAGGAUAUUAUCCAGGAGAACUUCCCCAACCUAGCAAGGCAGGUCAACAUUCAAAUUUAGGAAAUGCAGAGAAUGCCACAAAGAUACUCCUCAAGAAGAGCAACCCCAAGACACAUAAUCGUCAGAUUCACCAAGGUUGAAAUGAAGGAAAAAAAGGUUAAGGGCAGCCAGAGAGAGGUCAGGUUACCCACAAAAGGAAGCCCAUCAGACUAACGGUGGCUCUCUCAGCAGAAACUCUACAAGCCAGAAGAGAGUGGGGGCCAAUAUUCAACAUUCUUAAAGAAUUUUCAACCCAGAAUUUCAUAUCCAGCCAAACUAAGCUUCAUAAGUGAAGGAAACAUAAAAUCCUUUACAGACAAGCAAGUGCUGAGAGAUUUUGUCACCACCAGGCCUGCCUUACAAGAGCUCCUGAAGGAAGCACUAAAGGAACAACCGGUACCAGCCACUGCAAAACAUGCCAAAUUGUAAAGACCAUUGGUGCUAGGAAGAAACUGCAUCAACUAACAAGCAAAAUAACCAGCUAACAUCAUAAUGACAAGAUCAAGUUCACACGUAACAAUACUAACCUUAAAUGUAAAUGGGCUAAAUGCCCCAAUUAAAAGACACAGACUGGCAAAUUGGAUAAAGAGUCAAGACCCAUCAGUGUGCUGUAUUCAGGAGACCCAUCUCACCUGCAGAGACACACAUAGGCUCAAAAUAAAGAGAUGGAGGAAGAUCUACCAAGCAAAUGGAAAACAAAAAAAGCAGGGGUUGCAAACCCACUCUCUGAUAAAACAGAUUUUAAACCAACAAAGAUCAAAAGAGACAAAAGAGACAAAGAAGGCCAUUACAUAAUGGUAAAGGGAUCAAUUCAACAAGAAGAGCUAACUAUCUUAAAUAUAUAUGCACCCAAUACAGGAGCACCCAGAUUCAUAAAGCAAGCCCUUAGAGACCUACAAAGAGACUUAGACUCCCACACAAUAAUAAUGGGAGACUUUAACACUCCACUCUCAACAUUAGACAGAUCAACAAGACAGAAAGUUAACAAGGAUAUCCAGGACUUGAACUCAGCUCUGCACCAAGUGGACCUAAUAGACAUCUACAGAACUCUCCACCCCAAAUCAACAGAAUAUAUACAUUCUUCUCAGCACCACACUGCACUUAUUCCAAAAUUGACCACAUAGUUGGAAGUAAAGCACUCCUCAGCAAACGUAAAAGUACAGAAAUUAUAACAAACUGUCUCUCAGACCAUAGUGCAAUCAAAUUAGAACUCAGGAUUAAGAAACUCACUCAAAACCGCAAAACUACAUGGAAAUUGAAUAACCUGCUCCUGAAUGACUACUGGGUACAUAACUAAAUGAAGGCAGAAAUAAAGAUGUUCUUUGAAACCAAUGAGAACAAAGACACAACAUACCAGAAUCUCUGGGACACAUUUAAAGCAGUGUGUAGAGGGAAAUUUAUAGCACUAAAUGCCCACAAGAGAAAGCAGGAAAGAACUAAAACUGACACGCUAACAUCACAAUUAAAAGAACUAGAGAAGCAAGAGCAAACAUAUUCAAAAGCUAGCAGAAGGCAAGAAAUAACUAAGAUCAGAGCAGAACUAAAGGAGACAGAGACACAAAAAACCCUUCAAAACAUCAAUGGUAUCCAGGAGCUGGUUUUUGGAAAAGAUCAACAAAAUUGAUAGACCACUAGCAAGACUAAUAAAGAAGAAAAGAGAGAAGAAUCAAAUAGACGCAAUAAAAAAUGAUAAAGGGGAUAUCACCACCGAUCCCACGGAAAUACAAACUACCAUCAGAGAAUACUAUAAACACCUCUAUGUAAAUAAACUAGAAAACCUAAAAGAAAUGGAUAAAUUCCUGGACACAUCCACCCUCCCAAGACUAAACCAGGAAGAAGUUGAAUCCCUGAAUAGACCAAUAACAGGCUCUGAAAUUGAGGCAAUAAUUAAUAGCCUACCAACCAAAAAAAGUCCAGGACCAGAUGGAUUCACAGCCAAAUUCUGUCAGCGGUAGGAAGAGGAGCUGGUACCAUUCCUUCUGAAAUUAUUCCAAUCAGUAGAAAAAGAUGGAAUCCUCCCUAACUCAUUUUAUGAGGCCAGCAUCAUCCUGACACCAAAGCCUGGCAGAGACACAACAAAAAAAGAGAAUUUUAGGCCAAUAUCACUGAUGAACAUCGAUGCAAAAAUCCUCAAUAAAAUACUGGCAAACUGAAUCCAGCAGCACAUCAAAAAGCUUAUCCACCAUGAUCAAGUUGGCUUCAUCCCUAGGGUGCAAGGCUCAUUCAACAUACACAAAUCAAUAAACCUAAUCCAUCAUAUAAACAGAACCAAAGACAAAAACCACAUGAUUAUCUCAAUAGAUGCAGAAAAGACCUUCAACAAAAUUCAACAACGCCUCAUGCUAAAAACUCUCAAUAAACUAGGUAUU